CCGAACUAAAAGAGCUGUUGUUCAUUUACAUCUAUCUGCCUUCAUUGAGCUGAGGAGAUAUAAAAAAAUCUAAAAAUAGCAUCAUCCAAAAUGGUACUUGCAAUUUCAGGUAUCUCAGUACUUUCACAUGACCAAAAGUGAGCUCUGGAAUGGGAGAUGUCCUGUAUUUGCUGGCAGUCUCCCCCUUCCAGCCCUCAGCCUGGACUUACCUCUCCAUGAGUCCUGGCAGCAUGAAUGGCAGGAACCUGAGGACCUGAAUGCUACCUGCUCAGGAAGGCAGGAAGAGUUAACCAUUUGUGGUGACUUCCCAUCUGUGAAGGAGUGAAGCCAGGAGAAAAAUACAGCUCUUUGGAUACUGCUGAUGUCAGAAGAGUGGUACUGAUGAAUUUGACAGAAAAACUGAUCAAUGUAAUUUGCUGCUGCUUGUCAUCAGCACACAGUCAGCCUGCCACUGUUACAGGUUUUGAUUGUUCUUUUAUCCCAACCACAGAAGAAUGUCAUAAGGAUUUCCUAAACAUAAAAGGUUUGGGAUGAAGGAAAUAUCUUUACAAACAUCUACAGUACCUCCUUACAUUCAAAUUAAAUGUUUUCAGCCAAACCCACACACUUUUACUCAAACACCUACAAACUAAUUAAAUAAAACUGCUUGU
Pogoniulus pusillus (Red-fronted tinkerbird) is the source of this 650-nucleotide long non-coding RNA. RefSeq lists it as uncharacterized. Lineage: Eukaryota; Metazoa; Chordata; Aves; Piciformes; Lybiidae. The transcript is spliced from 2 exons. The record is from RefSeq and is a predicted model, not a curated record.